RNAcentral lists this ribosomal RNA (423 nucleotides) under Triticum aestivum (bread wheat). RNAcentral's name for it is "partial small subunit ribosomal RNA". The record is from RNAcentral. Lineage: Eukaryota; Viridiplantae; Streptophyta; Magnoliopsida; Poales; Poaceae.
AUGUUGCUCUUUUCACUCAUCAUCUCGAAUUGCGAGGACCGUGUUCUUUUCAUGCUUAUCCAUUUAACCGGAGUGUUGUGUUCUCAUUCAAGUUCUCUCAUCUUAUCAAGUUUUCCUUCUCUUUUCUACCGGAGUGCUGCCCAAAUUCUCUUGUAUAUCUUGCUUCUCUUUUCAACUGGAGUGGUUUUCAAUAUCUAUCUUAUCACUAAACCUACAAGGUUCUCGGAUGUUCCUUGUUCCUCUUUUCUAACGGAUUGUUUGCAAUCUCGUUCAUCUCUAAUUGCUCAACCUCUCAAGGUUCGUGGUUUCACUCAUUUGUCGAAGAAGCAACUUAGUUUUACCUCUUCUCUUCCUUUCUGUUUUCCCUCCGGUGCCAUCCUAGAUCUCGGGACGAGAUCCUCUCGUAGUGGUGGAGUGUUGUAA